Molecule: long non-coding RNA, 892 nt
Filed under: Strigops habroptila (Kakapo)
Lineage: Eukaryota; Metazoa; Chordata; Aves; Psittaciformes; Psittacidae
Description: lncRNA (ENSSHBG00005003582.1)
Source: RNAcentral
CUCGACCGGGCUGCAGCCAGUGCAGGAUGCACACGGAGAAAAUCCAGCACACACAGAACGUGGGCUGCUCUGCACUCCUAAAAGCAAUGACGACUUAAAAUCCACGCUGCUACCUGCUCUUUUGAGGUCUCCAGAUGGCUGUGAUGUAAAGAACAUCCUGCGUGAAUUUCUUAGGAGUAAACAGUCCCUAUUGACUUCAAAGAGGAAUGCCUAUGAUUCUCGGAUUAUUGCAAUCAGAGCCCCCUCCUAAUGCCAACAUCAUCACCUUCCAUGGGGAAGACACACAGGAGUCCCCCUUCAGCUGCUGGGAGUUACAUAGGCAGGGCAUAGCAUUACAUAAACCCCCUUUUUGCACCAAUUUAUGGCAGAACUCAUGUAGAUGCAAACCACGGCACUCCAGUACAGCCCAGGCCAGCUUUCCCUGCAGAGCAUCCCUUUCCUCCUCCCAGCCAGAUUAUACUCCUGUUAUGUCGAACGUACGGUAUGCAAAGGGACAUCUACUACAAGUCCAAACUAUUACAAGAGAACAGACAGACUGAAGAAUGCAAAGCCGGGGGGGUGGGGAGGGGGGGGGGCGGGGCGGGAAGAGGGGAGCGGAGGGAGAAGUAUUAAAACCACCAACAGUCAGUCAAUACACAUGGAAACACUGCAUGCUGCCAAAGAACAUUUACCUGUAGGUAAAGCAUACAGUAGCGUCAGACUUCUAUUAAACAACAAAAAGAAGUUACCGUUUAUUGUCGUGGUUGUCAGUCCCUGUGGUCUGUCUGCGUUGUCUAAACCUGAAAAUAGACAGAAAAAAAAAGGGGAGGGGAGCAGAAAAAUAGCAAAGGAUCGUAAUUUAAACACUCUCAGUGUUUGGUUCUUGUUCGUGAAAAUAUAUAAGAGCAGGUAA